Molecule: ribosomal RNA, 292 nt
Filed under: uncultured bacterium
Lineage: Bacteria
Description: partial 16S ribosomal RNA
Source: RNAcentral
GGACUACUCGGGUAUCUAAUCCCGUUCGCUCCCCUAGCUUUCGCACCUUAGCGUCAGAUACGAGCCAGGACACUGCCUUCGCCAUUGGUGUUCUUCCGGAUCUCUACGCAUUUCACUGCUCCACCCGGAGUUCCAUGUCCCUCUCUCGCUCUCAAGCUCGCCAGUUUUCGAAAUCGUUCACCGGUUAAGCCGUUGAUUGUCACUUCGAACUUAGCGAACCGCCUGCGUGCGCUUUACGCCCAAUAAUUCCGGACAACGCUUGCCCCCUACGUAUUACCGCGGCGGCUGGCAC